Molecule: transfer RNA, 65 nt
Filed under: Cordylochernes scorpioides
Lineage: Eukaryota; Metazoa; Arthropoda; Arachnida; Pseudoscorpiones; Chernetidae
Description: tRNA-Thr
Rfam family: tRNA (bases 2-58)
About the family: Transfer RNA (tRNA) molecules are approximately 80 nucleotides in length. Their secondary structure includes four short double-helical elements and three loops (D, anti-codon, and T loops).
Source: RNAcentral
CAGCCUAGUGGACAAGGCACCUGCCCGGUAAGCAGAAGGUUGUGGGUUCGAUUCCCGCCCCUGGA